This 273-nucleotide ribosomal RNA is filed under the name uncultured bacterium. Its description in RNAcentral is "partial 16S ribosomal RNA". It matches the Rfam family "Bacterial small subunit ribosomal RNA", at positions 524 to 796 of the family's 1533-position model. The record is from RNAcentral.
UACGGAGGGCGCAAGCGUUGUUCGGAAUUACUGGGCGUAAAGCGCGUGUAGGCGGCUUGGCAAGUCGGGUGUGAAAGCCCGGGGCUCAACCCCGGAACUGCAUCCGAUACUGCCUCGCUCGAGUCCCGGAGAGGGUGGCGGAAUUUCCGGUGUAGAGGUGAAAUUCGUAGAUAUCGGAAGGAACACCAGUGGCGAAGGCGGCCACCUGGACGGUGACUGACGCUGAGACGCGAAAGCGUGGGGAGCAAACAGGAUUAGAUACCCUCGUAGUCC